CGAAAGCCUGACGGAGCAAGACCGCGUGGGGGAAGAAGGCUCUUGGGUUGUAAACCCCUUUUCUCUGGGAAGAAAGUUGUGAAAGCAACCUGACGGUACCAGAGGAAUCAGCAUCGGCUAACUCCGUGCCAGCAGCCGCGGUAAGACGGAGGAUGCAAGCGUUAUCCGGAAUGAUUGGGCGUAAAGCGUCCGCAGGUGGCAGUUCAAGUCUGCUGUCAAAGACCGGGGCUUAACUUCGGAAAGGCAGUGGAAACUGAACAGCUAGAGUGCAGUAGGGGUAGAGGGAAUUCCCGGUGUAGCGGUGAAAUGCGUAGAGAUCGGGAAGAACAUCGGUGGCGAAAGCGCUCUGCUGGACUGCAACUGACACUAAAGGACGAAAGCUAGGGGAGCG
Molecule: ribosomal RNA, 391 nt
Filed under: uncultured soil crust cyanobacterium
Lineage: Bacteria; Bacillati; Cyanobacteriota
Description: bacterial SSU rRNA
Rfam family: Bacterial small subunit ribosomal RNA
Source: RNAcentral